CACGACAAAGGCAAACCAUUGGAAACGAUGGGACGCAAAACUAUAGGGCCUUUCCGAAAGGAGUGGCAGCCAGUCGCCGAAU
RNAcentral lists this non-coding RNA (82 nucleotides) under Clostridiales bacterium. Its description in RNAcentral is "c-di-GMP sequence". It matches the Rfam family "c-di-GMP-I-GGC riboswitch aptamer". The record is from RNAcentral. Lineage: Bacteria; Bacillati; Bacillota; Clostridia; Eubacteriales.